Molecule: ribosomal RNA, 437 nt
Filed under: Euxinolauria glomerosa
Lineage: Eukaryota; Metazoa; Mollusca; Gastropoda; Stylommatophora
Description: SSU rRNA
Rfam family: Eukaryotic small subunit ribosomal RNA
Source: RNAcentral
CUUACUUUGGAUAACUGUGGCAAUUCUAGAGCUAAUACAUGCUUACCAAGCUCCGACCCUCGCGGAAAGAGCGCUUUUAUUAGUUCAAAACCAAUCGUCGUUGCCCCUCGCGGGGCGCGGCGUCCCUACUGGUGACUCUGGAUAACUUUGUGCUGAUCGCAUGGCCUCACGUGCCGGCGACCCAUCUUUCAAAUGUCUGCCCUAUCAAAUGUCGAUGGUACGUGACAUGCCUACCAUGUUUGUAACGGGUAACGGGGAAUCAGGGUUCGAUUCCGGAAAGGGAGCAUGAGAAACGGCUACCACAUCCAAGGAAGGCAGCAGGCGCGCAACUUACCCACUCCCGGCACGGGGAGGUAGUGACGAAAAAUAACAAUACGGGACUCUUUCGAGGCUCCGUAAUUGGAAUGAGUACACUUUAAACCCUUUUAACGAGGAUA